GAUGCUAUUACCGGAUAACAACAGAUGAUGCCUAUCAACUGUUUAAAAGAUGGUUCUGCUAUCACUCUUGGAUGGACCUGCGGUGCAUUAGCUAGUUGGUAGGGUAACGGCCUACCAAGGCGAUGAUGCAUAGCCGAGUUGAGAGACUGAUCGGCCACAUUGGGACUGAGACACGGCCCAAACUCCUACGGGAGGCAGCAGAU
RNAcentral lists this ribosomal RNA (203 nucleotides) under uncultured Lactobacillus sp. Its description in RNAcentral is "partial 16S ribosomal RNA". It matches the Rfam family "Bacterial small subunit ribosomal RNA", at positions 159 to 354 of the family's 1533-position model. The record is from RNAcentral. Lineage: Bacteria; Bacillati; Bacillota; Bacilli; Lactobacillales; Lactobacillaceae.